AAGCGUCGGUAAGGUGAUAUGAACCGUUAUAACCGGCGAUUUCCGAAUGGGGAAACCCAGUGUGUUUCGACACACUAUCAUUAACUGAAUCCAUAGGUUAAUGAGGCGAACCGGGGGAACUGAAACAUCUAAGUACCCCGAGGAAAAGAAAUCAACCGAGAUUCCCCCAGUAGCGGCGAGCGAACGGGGAGCAGCCCAGAGCCUGAAUCAGUAUGUGUGUUAGUGGAAGCGUCUGGAAAGGCGCGCGAUACAGGGUGACAGCCCCGUACACAAAAAUGCACAUGCUGUGAGCUCGAUGAGUAGGGCGGGACACGUGGUAUCCUGUCUGAAUAUGGGGGGACCAUCCUCCAAGGCUAAAUACUCCUGACUGACCGAUAGUGAACCAGUACCGUGAGGGAAAGGCGAAAAGAACCCCGGCGAGGGGAGUGAAAAAGAACCUGAAACCGUGUACGUACAAGCAGUGGGAGCACGCUUAGGCGUGUGACUGCGUACCUUUUGUAUAAUGGGUCAGCGACUUAUAUUCUGUAGCAAGGUUAACCGAAUAGGGGAGCCGAAGGGAAACCGAGUCUUAACUGGGCGUUAAGUUGCAGGGUAUAGACCCGAAACCCGGUGAUCUAGCCAUGGGCAGGUUGAAGGUUGGGUAACACUAACUGGAGGACCGAACCGACUAAUGUUGAAAAAUUAGCGGAUGACUUGUGGCUGGGGGUGAAAGGCCAAUCAAACCGGGAGAUAGCUGGUUCUCCCCGAAAGCUAUUUAGGUAGCGCCUCGUGAAUUCAUCUCCGGGGGUAGAGCACUGUUUCGGCAAGGGGGUCAUCCCGACUUACCAACCCGAUGCAAACUGCGAAUACCGGAGAAUGUUAUCACGGGAGACACACGGCGGGUGCUAACGUCCGUCGUGAAGAGGGAAACAACCCAGACCGCCAGCUAAGGUCCCAAAGUCAUGGUUAAGUGGGAAACGAUGUGGGAAGGCCCAGACAGCCAGGAUGUUGGCUUAGAAGCAGCCAUCAUUUAAAGAAAGCGUAAUAGCUCACUGGUCGAGUCGGCCUGCGCGGAAGAUGUAACGGGGCUAAACCAUGCACCGAAGCUGCGGCAGCGACGCUGAUGCGUUGUUGGGUAGGGGAGCGUUCUGUAAGCCUGCGAAGGUGUGCUGUGAGGCAUGCUGGAGGUAUCAGAAGUGCGAAUGCUGACAUAAGUAACGAUAAAGCGGGUGAAAAGCCCGCUCGCCGGAAGACCAAGGGUUCCUGUCCAACGUUAAUCGGGGCAGGGUGAGUCGACCCCUAAGGCGAGGCCGAAAGGCGUAGUCGAUGGGAAACAGGUUAAUAUUCCUGUACUUGGUGUUACUGCGAAGGGGGGACGGAGAAGGCUAUGUUGGCCGGGCGACGGUUGUCCCGGUUUAAGCGUGUAGGCUGGUUUUCCAGGCAAAUCCGGAAAAUCAAGGCUGAGGCGUGAUGACGAGGCACU
RNAcentral lists this ribosomal RNA (1462 nucleotides) under Escherichia coli. Its description in RNAcentral is "partial 23S ribosomal RNA". It matches the Rfam family "Bacterial large subunit ribosomal RNA", at positions 73 to 1578 of the family's 2925-position model. Lineage: Bacteria; Pseudomonadati; Pseudomonadota; Gammaproteobacteria; Enterobacterales; Enterobacteriaceae. The record is from RNAcentral.